AACGAACGCUGGCGGCAGGCCUAACACAUGCAAGUCGAACGGACCCUUCGGGGUCAGUGGCAGACGGGUGAGUAACGCGUGGGAAUCUACCCAGUUCUUCGGAAUAACCCAGGGAAACUUGGGCUAAUACCGGAUACGCCCUUGGGGGGAAAGAUUUAUCGGAAUUGGAUGAGCCCGCGUCGGAUUAGCUAGUUGGUGGGGUAAUGGCCUACCAAGGCGACGAUCCGUAGCUGGUCUGAGAGGAUGAUCAGCCACACUGGGACUGAGACACGGCCCAGACUCCUACGGGAGGCAGCAGUGGGGAAUAUUGGACAAUGGGCGCAAGCCUGAUCCAGCCAUGCCGCGUGAGUGAUGAAGGCCUUAGGGUUGUAAAGCUCUUUCAGCGGGGAAGAUAAUGACGGUACCCGCAGAAGAAGCCCCGGCUAACUUC
Molecule: ribosomal RNA, 430 nt
Filed under: uncultured beta proteobacterium
Lineage: Bacteria; Pseudomonadati; Pseudomonadota; Betaproteobacteria
Description: bacterial SSU rRNA
Rfam family: Bacterial small subunit ribosomal RNA
Source: RNAcentral